RNAcentral lists this ribosomal RNA (406 nucleotides) under uncultured bacterium. Its description in RNAcentral is "partial 16S ribosomal RNA". It matches the Rfam family "Bacterial small subunit ribosomal RNA", at positions 30 to 526 of the family's 1533-position model. The record is from RNAcentral.
AUUGAACGCUGGCGUCAGGCCUAACACAUGCAAGUCGAACGAGUGGCGGACGGGUGAGUAAUGUCUGGGAAACUGCCUGAUGGAGGUGGAUAACUACUGGAAACGGUAGCUAAUACCGCAUACCAUCGGAUUUGCCCAGGUGGGAUUAGCUUGUUGGUGGGGUAACGGCUCACCAAGGCGACGAUCCCUAGCUGGUCUGAGAGGAUGACCAGCCACACUGAAACUGAGACACGGUCCAGAAUCAUACGGGAGGCAGGAGUGGGGAAUAUGGCACAAUGGGCGCAAGCCUGAUGCAGCCAUGCCGCGUGUGUGAAGAAGGCCUUCGGGUUGUAAAGUACUUUCAGCGGGGAGGCGUUACCCGCAGAAGAAGCACCGGCUAACUCCGUGCCAGCAGCCGCGGUAAUAC